Micropterus salmoides (largemouth bass) is the source of this 916-nucleotide long non-coding RNA. RefSeq lists it as uncharacterized. NCBI's taxonomy places the organism in Eukaryota, Metazoa, Chordata, Actinopteri, Centrarchiformes, Centrarchidae. The record is from RefSeq and is a predicted model, not a curated record. The transcript has 2 exons.
UGUGCUGGCUGAUGAUCCAGCAUCUCCUCUGCAGACAAACUUCAGCAUAGCCCCAGUAAAUUAUAAAUCAAUACUUGCAAGAUAUUAAUGUUAUCAGCUGCAUCAAAAAAGUUGCUAGGAUGUGUGAACUUCUCUGGGACGUUGGCCCAGGUUUGGACAGGGCAGACCAGAAAGGGUUAAUGCGAGAGGAUGUUUGUGUUCAAACAGUGGAAAAACAGUAUUGCUGCCAGAUUUUGGGAGCGACUGAUUGCUUCUUAUGCGAGAAGACGUGGACAACAGGAAGAUAUGUUCUGUGUAUAAAAAUGUGUAGAUUCAGACUUGAUCCUCUGUCUUUUUACCAUUUCAUAAACACCAUGCUGUGUGAAAGGUUCCCUCACUUCCUGUACUUUAUCGAUCAGAAUUUAGACGAUGUCAUAAUGUUGAUGAUGUCAUAAACACCGUUCUGAGGGGAAAGUGAUGUCACUGCCUGCUUCCACAUUCUGAAGAUCAAAGCCACAGAGUGAACACAUUCUGAAACUUCAGCUCCUCAGUCUAAUGAAUCAUUUACAACUGAGCUUCGUGUACAGAGCCCAGAAAAACAAGCGGUGGUUAACACAGUCGUUAAGAGAGAAGAAAAAUGAGCUGCAUCGAGGAAACGGUCCCUUCUGAGAAGUUCUUUGACAAUCUGGGCAUGGACGUCAGCCAAGAACAAGCAGAUAUAUCUGACCAAGAAAUCAAAGUGGACGUGGAUGCAGUCAUUCAACAACUGGAAGGAAUAGAUCUCCAACUGCAAAGGACAAGGCCUGGUGAGAGCCACUGCAGAGGAUCAUAGCCAUCGUUGGAGUUCUGAAAGGACGUGGGUGAAUAUCAAUCUGCCAAAUGAACUUUUUUAGCGUGCAUCUUCACAUCUGUAUAUUAAUACUGAUAUGAUACUAUA